This 291-nucleotide ribosomal RNA is filed under the name uncultured bacterium. RNAcentral's name for it is "partial 16S ribosomal RNA". It matches the Rfam family "Bacterial small subunit ribosomal RNA", at positions 333 to 641 of the family's 1533-position model. The record is from RNAcentral.
GUCCACCUACGGGGCGCAGCAGUGGGGAAUAUUGCACAAUGGGGGAAACCCUGAUGCAGCGACGCCGCGUGAGCGAUGAAGUAUUUCGGUAUGUAAAGCUCUAUCAGCAGGGAAGAAAAUGACGGUACCUGACUAAGAAGCCCCGGCUAACUACGUGCCAGCAGCCGCGGUAAUACGUAGGGGGCAAGCGUUAUCCGGAUUUACUGGGUGUAAAGGGAGCGUAGACGGCGGGGCAAGCCAGAUGUGAAAGCCCGGGGCUCAACCCCGGGACGGCAUUUGGAACUGUGCUGC